RNAcentral lists this ribosomal RNA (524 nucleotides) under uncultured bacterium. RNAcentral's name for it is "bacterial SSU rRNA". It matches the Rfam family "Bacterial small subunit ribosomal RNA", at positions 434 to 949 of the family's 1533-position model. The record is from RNAcentral.
AAGCGAGGAGGAGUGCUACUUAGUUAAUACCUCGAGAUAGUGUACGUCACUCGCAGAAUAUGCACCGGCUAACUCUGUGCCAGCAGCCGCGGUAAUACAGAGGGUGCAAGCGUUAAUCGGAUUUACUGGGCGUAAAGCGCGCGUAGGCGGCUAAUUAAGUCAAAUGUGAAAUCCCCGAGCUUAACUUGGGAAUUGCAUUCGAUACUGGUUAGCUAGAGUGUGGGAGAGGAUGGUAGAAUUCCAGGUGUAGCGGUGAAAUGCGUAGAGAUCUGGAGGAAUACCGAUGGCGAAGGCAGCCAUCUGGCCUAACACUGACGCUGAGGUGCGAAAGCAUGGGGAGCAAACAGGAUUAGAUACCCUGGUAGUCCAUGCCGUAAACGAUGUCUACUAGCCGUUGGGGCCUUUGAGGCUUUACUGGCGCAGCUAACGCGAUAAGUAGACCGCCUGGGGAGUACGUGUCGCAAGCACUCAAAUUCAAAUGAAUUGACGGGGGCCCGACACAAGCGGUGGAGCAUGUGGUACAU